RNAcentral lists this ribosomal RNA (457 nucleotides) under uncultured bacterium. RNAcentral's name for it is "SSU rRNA". It matches the Rfam family "Bacterial small subunit ribosomal RNA", at positions 26 to 518 of the family's 1533-position model. The record is from RNAcentral.
AGAAUCAACGCUGGCGGCGUGCCUAACACAUGCAAGUCGCACGAGAAAGGGACUUCGGUCCUGAGUACAGUGGCGCACGGGUGAGUAACACGUGAAUAAUCUACCUCCGAGUGGGGAAUAACUGAGAGAAAUCUUAGCUAAUACCGCAUAACACUUACGAGUCAAAGCAGCAAUGCGCUUGGAGAGGAGUUCGCGGCAGAUUAGUUAGUUGGCGGGGUAAUGGCCCACCAAGACGAUGAUCUGUAUCCGGCCUGAGAGGGCGCACGGACACACUGGAACUGAAACACGGUCCAGACUCCUACGGGAGGCAGCAGUGGGGAAUUUUGCGCAAUGGGGGAAACCCUGACGCAGCAACGCCGCGUGGAGGAUGAAUAUCUUGGUAUGUAAACUCCUUUCGAUGGGGAAGAUAAUGACGGUACCAUAGAAGAAGCCCGGCUAACUUCGUGCCAGCAGCCGC